AGUGAACGCUGGCGGUAGGCCUAACACAUGCAAGUCGAACGGCAGCACAGUAAGAGCUUGCUCUUACGGGUGGCGAGUGGCGGACGGGUGAGGAAUACAUCGGAAUCUACUUUUUCGUGGGGGAUAACGUAGGGAAACUUACGCUAAUACCGCAUACGUCCUACGGGUGAAAGCAGGGGAUCUUCGGACUUUGCGCGAUUGAUUGAGCCGAUGUCGGAUUAGCUAGUUGGCGGGGUAAAGGCCCACCAAGGCGACGAUCCGUAGCUGGUCUGAGAGGAUGAUCAGCCGCACUGGAACUGAGACACGGUCCAGACUCCUACGGGAGGCAGCAGUGGGGAAUAUUGGACAAUGGGCGCAAGCCUGAUCCAGCCAUACCGCGUGGGUGAAGAAGGCCUUCGGGUUGUAAAGCCCUUUUGUUGGGAAAGAAAAGCAGCAGGUUAAUACCCCGCUGUUCUGACGGUACCCAAAGAAUAAGCACCGGCUAACUUCGUG
This 492-nucleotide ribosomal RNA is filed under the name uncultured bacterium. RNAcentral describes it as "partial 16S ribosomal RNA". It matches the Rfam family "Bacterial small subunit ribosomal RNA", at positions 29 to 507 of the family's 1533-position model. The record is from RNAcentral.